AACGCGAAGAACCUUACCUAAGCUUGACAUCCUGGUGACCUCUCCCUAAUCGGAGAUUCCCCUUCGGAGACACCAGUGACAGGUGGUGCAUGGUUGCCGUCAGCUCGUGUCGUGAGAUGUUGGGUUAAGUCCCGCAACGAGCGCAACCCUUGUCUUUAGUUGCCAUCAUUAAGUUGGGCACUCUAGAGAGACUGCCAGGGAUAACCUGGAGGAAGGUGGGGAUGACGUCAAAUCAUCAUGCCCCUUAUGCUUAGGGCUACACACGUGCUACAAUGGGUGGUACAGAGGGCUGCUAAACCGUAAGGUCAUGCCAAUCCCUUAAAGCCAUUCUCAGUUCGGAUUGUGGGCUGAAACUCGCCCACAUGAAGCUGGAGUUACUAGUAAUCGCAGAUCAGAAUGCUGCGGUGAAUGCGUUCCCGGGUCUUGUACACACCG
Molecule: ribosomal RNA, 435 nt
Filed under: bacterium B1(2008)
Lineage: Bacteria
Description: bacterial SSU rRNA
Rfam family: Bacterial small subunit ribosomal RNA
Source: RNAcentral